GCCUGGCUAGCUCAAUCGGUAGAGCGUAAGACUCUUAUAUCUUAGGAUAUCUUAAGGCUGCGAGUUCGAGCCUCGCGUUGGGCU
Molecule: transfer RNA, 84 nt
Organism: Dactylellina haptotyla CBS 200.50
Lineage: Eukaryota; Fungi; Ascomycota; Orbiliomycetes; Orbiliales; Orbiliaceae
Rfam family: tRNA
About the family: Transfer RNA (tRNA) molecules are approximately 80 nucleotides in length. Their secondary structure includes four short double-helical elements and three loops (D, anti-codon, and T loops).
Source: Rfam